Molecule: small RNA, 63 nt
Filed under: Drosophila yakuba
Lineage: Eukaryota; Metazoa; Arthropoda; Insecta; Diptera; Drosophilidae
Description: GE27299
Source: RNAcentral
AACCUGCUGAUGUGAGUUAUUAAAAGUCUUACUGUCCAUCAAUAGAGCCCACAACUCCACCUC